GUCCACGCCGUAAACGAUGAGUGCUGGAUGUCGGGGGUAUUCACCCCCCUCGGUAUCGAAGCUAACGCGAUAAGCACUCCGCCUGGGGAGUACGGCCGCAAGGUUGAAACUCAAAGGAAUUGACGGGGGCCCGCACAAGCGGUGGAGUAUGUGGUUUAAUUCGACGCAACGCGAAGAACCUUACCCAGCCUUGACGUCCUUGGAACCUGGUGGAAACACCGGGGUGUCCUCGCAAGAGGAAGCCAAGAGGCAGGUGCUGCAUGGCUGUCGU
RNAcentral lists this ribosomal RNA (271 nucleotides) under uncultured bacterium. RNAcentral describes it as "partial 16S ribosomal RNA". It matches the Rfam family "Bacterial small subunit ribosomal RNA", at positions 793 to 1055 of the family's 1533-position model. The record is from RNAcentral.